AUGACCACAUGUCACCCCGCCCCGACGCCCGUUGACACCAAGGCCAAAGUCUCUGCUGCUGCCGGCGAGCCGGCUGACGACCCCGCCUUCUAUCGCAGCAUCACCGGCGCCCUUCAGUACUUAACACUCACGCGCCCGGACCUGACAUACGUCGUGCGGCAUAUUUCCAACAAUAUGCACGCCCCACGUCAACCACACUGGGCCAUGGUAAAGCGCAUAUUGCGCUAUGUCCGCGGCACUACCUCCCACGGCAUCUCCAUUGCUGCCUCCUCGCCAACCGAGCUCGUCGCCUACACCAACGCCGAUUGGGCCGGCUGCCCGGACACCCGUCGCUCGACCUCGGGAUACUGUGUCUUCCUCGGCGACACACUCAUUUCUUGGUCAAGCAAGCGGCAGCCUACAGUCUCUCGGUCGAGUGCCGAAGCUGAAUACCGAGCCGUGGCAAAUGCGGUUGCUGAAUGUUGCUGGGUGCGUCAACUCCUUCAUGAGCUACACUCU
Molecule: ribosomal RNA, 498 nt
Filed under: Triticum aestivum (bread wheat)
Lineage: Eukaryota; Viridiplantae; Streptophyta; Magnoliopsida; Poales; Poaceae
Description: partial small subunit ribosomal RNA
Source: RNAcentral